UACAGAGGUCCCCGAGCGUUUGUUCGGAUUCACUGGGCGUAAAGGGUGCGUAGGCGUCUUCUAAGUCAGUUGUGAAAUACUUCAGCUUAACUGGAGAGGUGCAAUUGAUACUGGAAGACUUUAGUACUGAUAGGUAGGCGGAAUGGACGGUGUAGCGGUGAAAUGCUUAGAUAUCGUCCAGAACACCGAUAGCGAAGGCAGCUUACUAAGGAGUAACUGACGCUGAGGCACGAAAGUG
RNAcentral lists this ribosomal RNA (238 nucleotides) under uncultured bacterium. RNAcentral's name for it is "partial 16S ribosomal RNA". It matches the Rfam family "Bacterial small subunit ribosomal RNA", at positions 524 to 761 of the family's 1533-position model. The record is from RNAcentral.